AGUAACGCGUGAGGAACCUGCCUUCCAGAGGGGGGACAACAGUUGGAAACGACUGCUAAUACCGCAUGAUGCGUUGGAGCCGCAUGACUCCGACGUCAAAGAUUUAUCGCUGGAAGAUGGCCUCGCGUCUGAUUAGCUAGUUGGUGAGGUAACGGCCCACCAAGGCGACGAUCAGUAGCCGGACUGAGAGGUUGGCCGGCCACAUUGGGACUGAGAUACGGCCCAGACUCCUACGGGAGGCAGCAG
RNAcentral lists this ribosomal RNA (246 nucleotides) under uncultured bacterium. Its description in RNAcentral is "partial 16S ribosomal RNA". It matches the Rfam family "Bacterial small subunit ribosomal RNA", at positions 109 to 354 of the family's 1533-position model. The record is from RNAcentral.